UACGUAGGGGGCAAGCGUUGUCCGGAAUCAUUGGGCGUAAAGAGCGUGUAGGCGGUCCGGUAAGUCGGCUGUGAAAGUCCAGGGCUCAACCCUGGGAUGCCGGUCGAUACUGCCGGACUAGAGUUCGGAAGAGGCGAGUGGAAUUCCCGGUGUAGCGGUGAAAUGCGCAGAUAUCGGGAGGAACACCUAUGGCGAAGGCAGCUCGCUGGGACGUUACUGACGCUGAGACGCGAAGGCGUGGGGAGCAAACAGG
This 253-nucleotide ribosomal RNA is filed under the name uncultured bacterium. RNAcentral's name for it is "partial 16S ribosomal RNA". It matches the Rfam family "Bacterial small subunit ribosomal RNA", at positions 524 to 776 of the family's 1533-position model. The record is from RNAcentral.